AUGUGCAGAUUGAACUCUUUAAUUAGUCUGCUUACUUUUCACAGCAUUGAUUAUUGAUUCUGUAAAGUUAUAUUGACACAUCCAAAAAAGAACUGCCUCAAAAGGCUUUCUAAAGCGCAGAAAGAGCGGCUUCUUUAGAGCAGGAACGUUUUUGUACGACCACUGAACGAGUUUGUAUCACUGUGGAGGACUUUUGGUGGUGGGACAAAACUCUCAGUUGGACGUGAUGCCCCGCCCACCCUCACGGUCCUGCCCCCCUCCAGUG
Non-coding RNA from Electrophorus electricus (electric eel), 265 nucleotides. Lineage: Eukaryota; Metazoa; Chordata; Actinopteri; Gymnotiformes; Gymnotidae. The record is from RefSeq and is a predicted model, not a curated record.